CACAAGCGGUGGAUGAUGUGGAUUAAUUCGAUGCAACGCGAAAACCUUACCUACCCUUGACAUGCCAGGAAUCUUGGUGAGAGCCGAGAGUGCCUUCGGGAGCCUGGACACAGGUGCUGCAUGGCUGUCGUCAGCUCGUGUCGUGAGAUGUUGGGUUAAGUCCCGCAACGAGCGCAACCCUUGUCACUAGUUGCCAGCAUUUAGUUGGGCACUCUAGUGAGACUGCCGGUGACAAACCGGAGGAAGGUGGGGAUGACGUCAAGUCCUCAUGGCCCUUAUGGGUAGGGCUUCACACGUCAUACAAUGGUCGGUACAGAGGGUUGCCAAACCGCGAGGUGGAGCCAAUCCCUAAAAGCCGAUCGUAGUCCGGAUCGUAGUCUGCAACUCGACUACGUGAAGUCGGAAUCGCUAGUAAUCGUGGAUCAGCCAAGCCGCGGUGAAUACGUUCCCGGGCCUU
RNAcentral lists this ribosomal RNA (457 nucleotides) under uncultured Rhodocyclaceae bacterium. RNAcentral's name for it is "bacterial SSU rRNA". It matches the Rfam family "Bacterial small subunit ribosomal RNA", at positions 924 to 1382 of the family's 1533-position model. The record is from RNAcentral. Lineage: Bacteria; Pseudomonadati; Pseudomonadota; Betaproteobacteria; Rhodocyclales; Rhodocyclaceae.